GUCUCCAAGGUUAGCAGCCUCUGGUCAAUAGAACAAAGUAGGUAAGGGAAGUCGGCAAAAUGGUUCCGCAACUUCGGGAGAAGGAAUGGCUCUGAAGGCUGGGUGCGGGGGUCCUCCGCUUGAGGCCGGCUGGCUGCGCUGGGACUACGGCCUUUGCGCCGCGGACCCGGCGCGGCCGUCCGGCGGACGGCGGAGGAGCGCUCCGGCAUUCCCCGCACGCUGAACAGCCGCUUCAGAACUGGCGCGGACAAGGGGAAUCCGACUGU
This 266-nucleotide ribosomal RNA is filed under the name Strombidinopsis acuminata. Its description in RNAcentral is "partial Eukaryotic large subunit ribosomal RNA". It matches the Rfam family "Eukaryotic large subunit ribosomal RNA", at positions 1863 to 2141 of the family's 3401-position model. Lineage: Eukaryota; Ciliophora; Spirotrichea; Choreotrichida; Strombidinopsidae. The record is from RNAcentral.